RNAcentral lists this ribosomal RNA (253 nucleotides) under uncultured bacterium. RNAcentral describes it as "partial 16S ribosomal RNA". It matches the Rfam family "Archaeal small subunit ribosomal RNA", at positions 474 to 727 of the family's 1478-position model. The record is from RNAcentral.
UACCAGCACCCCGAGUGGUCGGGACGAUUAUUGGGCCUAGAGCAUCCGUAGCCGGUCCUGCAAGUCUUCCGUUAAAUCCAGCUGCUCAACAGAUGGGCUGCGGGAGAUACUACAGGGCUAGGAGGCGGGAGAGGCAAGCGGUACUUUAUGGGUAGGGGUAAAAUCCGCUGAUCCAUAGAAGACCACCAGUGGCGAAGGCGGCUUGCCAGAACGCGCUCGACGGUGAGGGAUGAAAGCUGGGGGAGCAAACCGG